RNAcentral lists this unclassified non-coding RNA (344 nucleotides) under soil metagenome. RNAcentral's name for it is "partial contains 5.8S ribosomal RNA, internal transcribed spacer 2, and large subunit ribosomal RNA". The stretch from base 1 to 120 matches the Rfam family "5.8S ribosomal RNA", at positions 35 to 154 of the family's 154-position model. The record is from RNAcentral.
GAUGAAGAACGCAGCGAAAUGCGAUAAGUAAUGUGAAUUGCAGAAUCCAGUGAAUCAUCGAAUCUUUGAACGCACAUUGCGCCCGCCAGCAUUCUGGCGGGCAUGCCUGUCCGAGCGUCAUUGCUGCCCUCAAGCACGGCUUGUGUGUUGGGCCUCCGUCCUCCUCCCGGGGGACGGGCCCGAAAGGCAGCGGCGGCACCGCGUCCGGUCCUCGAGCGUAUGGGGCUUCGUCACCCGCUCUUGUAGGCCCGGCCGGCGCUUGCCGACACAUCAAUCUUUUUUCCAGGUUGACCUCGGAUCAGGUAGGGAUACCCGCUGAACUUAAGCAUAUCAAUAAGCGGAGA